UUUACAAUUGUAUAGUUUUGAUUAAUUGUGGUUAUAUAAUAGGAGAGUUUACUUUGUUUUCAGUAUUGUUAAAGAAAGAAAAACUUUAUAUUCUAAAGAAAAUUAAAAUUUUGAAUUAAAAAUGGUUGGCUUGUAUACUUUUUGGAGAAUGGCUUAUAGAGAUAGUAUAUUGAUAUAUGUUCUUGAAAAUUUAAGAGCUAUUGUUUUUUUGUUUUUGUUGCAUAAAAAGUAUUAAAACUAAUAAUAGAGGUGACAUGUCUGUCGAAUAAGUUGAUAGCUAGUUUGGGGAGAAACAUAUUUACGUAUGGGGUAGAGUUUUUAUUUUUAUUUAAUAAUAAACUUAGUAAGAUCUAUACUCAGAUUUUUAAGGUUUAGCUUAAAAGUAUUUUAGUGUCCUGUUCAAGGAAAGAGUAGAGUUUAUAUUGCUUAUCUUUUAAACUUUUUUAUAAAGUAAACUAUAAUUGGAUUGAUUUUCUUAGUAUCUUCAUAAGUGUAAUAAUUUUUUAUAUUAAAAUUAGUAUAAGAUUAGUAACUAAAUAAUAGUGAAUUAAGAGAUAAAAUAUUUUUGAUUUGUUUUUGAAAAAUAAUAAAAUGUGUUUUUUUAUUUAAGAUACAUAAAGAGUGCUAUUUGUUUUAAUUUCGAUUUAAUAUUUUAUUAGUUCGGAAUUGUUAAAAUUAUAUUGAAAGAACUCGGCAAAUCUUCUUUGUGCCUGUUUAUUAAACACAUGGCCUUUUGUUUUGUAGGUAUAAAAGGUUUGACCUGCCCGGUGACUGUAGUAGUUUAACGGCCGCUUUAUUUGUGCUAAGGUAGCACGGUGAGUAGCCCUUUAAUUGAGGGAUUGUAUGAAUGGUUGGACACGGAGAGACUGUUUCCAAUGUAAUAAGUAGAAGUUUCUUUUCAAGUGAAAAAGCUUGAGUUUUUGUAAAAGACGAGAAGACCCUGUCGAACUUAAUUAAAAUUUAAAAUAUUUAGUUUUAGUGGCCCUAUUUAUUUGCUAUAUUAAGUUAGUUUGUACUAGUGAUGAUUUAUUUGUAAGUUGAGAGGUAUUAUUUCAGUAUAGAUUUUUGUUAAUUUUAUGGGUUGGGUACGGAAAAUUUAUUUUAAUUUUAAAUCUUUGUUGGGGCAAUAGAAAUCUAUUAAACGAUAUCUUACUGGAUAAAGACCCUGUAUGAUAGUUUAAAAGCAAAAGUUACCGCAGGGAUAACAGCGUAAUUUUUUUCUGUAGUUGUAUCGAGAAAAGAGUUUACGACCUCGAUGUUGAAUUAAGAAACCUUUAUGGCGCAGGAGCUAUAGGAGGGAAACUGUUCGUUUUUUAAUUUCUUACAUGAUUUGAGUUAAGAUCGGCGUGAGCUAGAUUGGUUUCUAUCUUUAUUUAUUAUUUCUAUUGUACGAAAGGAUCCAGAAAUAGUGUUUAACACUGUGAUGAAACUAUAAAAAAUGAGUAUUUUGGUU
This 1453-nucleotide ribosomal RNA is filed under the name Meretrix lusoria. RNAcentral describes it as "16S ribosomal RNA". The stretch from base 1201 to 1358 matches the Rfam family "Archaeal large subunit ribosomal RNA", at positions 2544 to 2703 of the family's 2987-position model. Lineage: Eukaryota; Metazoa; Mollusca; Bivalvia; Venerida; Veneridae. The record is from RNAcentral.